GUGGGAUAUUUUUAUAAUUUGGAUGCUAUUAAAAGUCUAUAUUGACUUUGAGCUCCCUUAAAUUAGAAACAUAGAAACAUAGAAUGUGACGGCAGAACCAUUCGGCCCAUCUAGUCUGCCCAAUUUUCUAAAUACUUUCAUUAGUCCCUAGCCUUAUCUUAUAGUUAGGAUAGCCUUAUGCCUAUCCCACCCAUGCUUAAACUCCUUUACUGUGUUAAUUCCCAGCCAAGUCCUACUUGAACACCACAUAAGCUUUCAAGUCUAUUUAAGUAAAUGACAAUGCAAUCUGGAUUCAGCUUUAUGUAUAGUAACCUAGAAAUGGUAAAAAGGUGAUUUAUUCCUUAAACAAACUUAAUUGUGGGAGCUGACACGUAAUAUAUUUUGCAGCUUUGCGGUCACUUCACUAUUUAGUGAAUAAGUUACUGCUUAAUAUUGUAAUAUACUAAUUAGCUUACAGAAGACAAAACAUAAAAGAAAUCACAUUAUGUUAUCAGAAAAUUUGGCAGAUGUGAAUAUACAAAACACUGCAGACUUUUAAAACCGGUAGAUGUGACAACUGUAAAACCUAUGUAGG
Molecule: non-coding RNA, 574 nt
Organism: Pelobates cultripes (western spadefoot toad)
Lineage: Eukaryota; Metazoa; Chordata; Amphibia; Anura; Pelobatidae
Source: the annotation of a GenBank genome assembly